Molecule: transfer RNA, 72 nt
Filed under: Candidatus Tremblayella phenacoccinincola
Lineage: Bacteria; Pseudomonadati; Pseudomonadota; Betaproteobacteria
Description: Candidatus Tremblaya phenacola tRNA
Rfam family: tRNA
About the family: Transfer RNA (tRNA) molecules are approximately 80 nucleotides in length. Their secondary structure includes four short double-helical elements and three loops (D, anti-codon, and T loops).
Source: Rfam by way of RNAcentral
GACUAUGUAGUUCAGAGGCAGAACGCAACACUCAUAACGUUGAGGACACUGGUUCAAACCCAGUCAUAGUCU